Molecule: long non-coding RNA, 470 nt
Organism: Rhipicephalus sanguineus (brown dog tick)
Lineage: Eukaryota; Metazoa; Arthropoda; Arachnida; Ixodida; Ixodidae
Exons: 4
Source: RefSeq, a predicted model, not a curated record
CAGGCCUCCUCCCCUGCCCCCGUGCUGCUUUGGGAACCAGAGCUUCCUCGAGGGCCUUGAAGUGCUCAGGGAAGGGGACACAACCCUCGGAGUCCGACUCACCCUGCUCACUGAAGCAUACGAGACAUCCAGACUCUCUGGUCCCAUCCAGAAGAAGCUGACACGAUGUGUACACUUCGGUGACUCUGUUCAGGACGUGGUGUGGGCCUUGGGGCUCCCCAAACAAGGUGUUCUACAAGGAGGAGGACAAGAUGAAGAUCCACGCUCAGGACUCCCACCGACUACUGGCUGCCAGGGCAUCGGACUACUUCUACAACUACUUCACCCUGGGCAUGGAUGUGCUGUUCGAUGCCCAGCGGCAUGUGGUGAAGAAGAUAGUCCUGCAGAGCAACUACCCAGGCCACUUCAACUUCCAGCAGUACUACCGCUGCCCAUUCCGGCUGAGGCUGCGACUCCCUCCGACACCCGAG